CCUACGGGAGGCAGCAGUGGGGAAUAUUGGACAAUGGGCGAAAGCCUGAUCCAGCAAUGCCGCGUGAGUGAUGAAGGCCUUCGGGUCGUAAAGCUCUUUUACCAGGGAUGAUAAUGACAGUACCUGGAGAAUAAGCUCCGGCUAACUCCGUGCCAGCAGCCGCGGUAAUACGGAGGGAGCUAGCGUUGUUCGGAAUUACUGGGCGUAAAGAGUACGUAGGCGGUUAUUCAAGUCAGAGGUGAAAGCCCGGGGCUCAACCCCGGAACUGCCUUUGAAACUAGAUAACUAGAGUCUUGGAGAGGUUAGUGGAAUUCCGAGUGUAGAGGUGAAAUUCGUAGAUAUUCGGAAGAACACCAGUGGCGAAGGCGACUAACUGGACAAGUACUGACGCUGAGGUACGAAAGCGUGGGGAGCAAACAGGAUUAGAUACCCUGGUAGUCCACGCCGUAAACGAUGAUAACUAGUUGUUCGGUCACUUGGUGACUGAGUGACGCAGCUAACGCAUUAAGUUAUCCGCCUGGGGAGUACGGUCGCAAGNUUAAAACUNAAGAUGACGNNGNGANGCGAGACGACACGAGGAGAG
Molecule: ribosomal RNA, 583 nt
Filed under: uncultured bacterium
Lineage: Bacteria
Description: bacterial SSU rRNA
Rfam family: Bacterial small subunit ribosomal RNA
Source: RNAcentral